RNAcentral lists this ribosomal RNA (433 nucleotides) under uncultured bacterium. RNAcentral's name for it is "partial 16S ribosomal RNA". It matches the Rfam family "Bacterial small subunit ribosomal RNA", at positions 29 to 507 of the family's 1533-position model. The record is from RNAcentral.
AACGAACGCUGGCGGCAUGCCUAACACAUGCGAGUCGAACGAGACCUUCGGGUCUAGUGGCGCACGGGUGCGUAACGCGUGGGAACCUGCCCUUAGGUUCGGAAUAACUCCCCGAAAGGGGUGCUAAUACCGGAUAAUGUCUUCGGACCAAAGAUUUAUCGCCCUUGGAUGGGCACGCGUUGGAUUAGCUAGUUGGUAGGGUAAAAGCCUACCAAGGCGUCGCUCCAUAGCUGGUCAGAGAGGAAGAGCAGCCACACUGGGACUGGGACACGGCCCAGAAUCCUACGCGAGGGAGCAGUGGGGAAUAUUGGACAAUGGGCGAAAGCCUGAAGCAGCAAUGCCGCGUGAGUGAUGAAGGCCUUAGGGUUGUAAAGCUCUUUUACCCGGGAUGAUAAUGACAGUACCGGGAGAAUAAGCACCGGCUAACUCCGUG